Ooceraea biroi (clonal raider ant) is the source of this 537-nucleotide long non-coding RNA. RefSeq lists it as uncharacterized. NCBI's taxonomy places the organism in Eukaryota, Metazoa, Arthropoda, Insecta, Hymenoptera, Formicidae. The record is from RefSeq and is a predicted model, not a curated record.
ACCAGGCAUUGGCCGCCGCGUUUCAAUCUGUAGAAACGUGGUUUCGUGUAUGAUGUCGCAGGAGAAAAUUAUCAAGACAAAGGUAACUUAUACAUGAUUAAUAGAAAUGCAACGAAAAUUAAUAUAAAAUUAAUGAAUUAAUUACCACACUUAUGAUGUCGCAGUAGAAAAUUAUCACGACAAAGGUAACUUAUACAUGAUUAAUAACAAACGCAACGAAAAUUAAUAUAAAAUUAAUGAAUUAAUUACCACACUUAUGAUGUCGCAGUAGAAAAUUAUCACGACAAAGGAGAAAAUUAUCACGACAAAGGUAACUUAUACAUGAUUAAUACAAAUGCAACGAAAAUUAAUAUAAAAUUAAUGAAUUAAUUACCACACUUAUGAUGUCGCAGGAGAAAAUUAUCACGACAAAGGUAACUUAUACAUGAUUAAUACAAAUGCAACGAAAAUUAAUAUAAAAUUAAUGAAUUAAUUACCACACUUAUGAUGUCGCAGGAGAAAAUUAUCACGACAAAGGUAACUUAUACAUGAUUAAUA